RNAcentral lists this ribosomal RNA (253 nucleotides) under uncultured bacterium. Its description in RNAcentral is "partial 16S ribosomal RNA". It matches the Rfam family "Bacterial small subunit ribosomal RNA", at positions 524 to 776 of the family's 1533-position model. The record is from RNAcentral.
UACGUAGGGACCGAGCGUUGUCCGGAAUCAUUGGGCGUAAAGCGCGUGUAGGCGGCUCGGUAAGUCUGCUGUGAAAGUCCAGGGCUCAACCCUGGGAUGCCGGUGGAUACUGUCGAGCUCGAGUCCGGAAGAGGCGAGUGGAAUUCCUGGUGUAGCGGUGAAAUGCGCAGAUAUCAGGAGGAACACCAAUGGCGAAGGCAGCUCGCUGGGAAGUGACUGACGCUGAGACGCGAAAGCGUGGGGAGCAAACAGG